GACGAACGCUGGCGGCGCGCCUAACACAUGCAAGUCGAACGAGCGAGAGAGAGCUUGCUUUCUCCAGCGAGUGGCGAACGGGUGAGUAACGCGUGAGGAACCUGCCUCAAAGAGGGGGACAACAGUUGGAAACGACUGCUAAUACCGCAUAAGCCCACGACCCGGCAUCGGGUCGAGGGAAAAGGAGCAAUCCGCUUUGAGAUGGCCUCGCGUCCGAUUAGCUAGUUGGUGAGGUAACGGCCCACCAAGGCGACGAUCGGUAGCCGGACUGAGAGGUUGAACGGCCACAUUGGGACUGAGACACGGCCCAGACUCCUACGGGAGGCAGCAGUGGGGAAUAUUGCACAAUGGGGGAAACCCUGAUGCAGCGACGCCGCGUGGAGGAAGAAGGUCUUCGGAUUGUAAACUCCUGUUGUUGAGGAAGAUAAUGACGGUACUCAACAAGGAAGUGACGGCUAACUACGUG
RNAcentral lists this ribosomal RNA (466 nucleotides) under uncultured bacterium. RNAcentral describes it as "partial 16S ribosomal RNA". It matches the Rfam family "Bacterial small subunit ribosomal RNA", at positions 28 to 507 of the family's 1533-position model. The record is from RNAcentral.